CAGUAGCCGCGGUAAUACGAAGGGUGCAAGCGUUAAUCGGAAUUACUGGGCGUAAAGCGUGCGUAGGCGGUUUGUUAAGUCUGUUGUGAAAGCCCUGGGCUCAACCUGGGAAUUGCAGUGGAUACUGGGUCACUAGAGUGUGGUAGAGGAUAGUGGAAUUUCCGGUGUAGCAGUGAAAUGCGUAGAGAUCGGGAGGAACAUCAGUGGCGAAGGCGGCCAUCUGGGACAACACUGACGCUGAGGCACGAAAGCGUGGGGAGCAAACAGGAUUAGAUACCCCUGUAGUCCCUGUCUCUUAUAC
RNAcentral lists this ribosomal RNA (301 nucleotides) under uncultured bacterium. Its description in RNAcentral is "partial 16S ribosomal RNA". It matches the Rfam family "Bacterial small subunit ribosomal RNA", at positions 509 to 807 of the family's 1533-position model. The record is from RNAcentral.